This 232-nucleotide RNase P RNA is filed under the name Gammaproteobacteria bacterium. Its description in RNAcentral is "partial RNase P RNA component class A". It matches the Rfam family "Bacterial RNase P class A", at positions 1 to 240 of the family's 367-position model. From Rfam's summary of the family: Ribonuclease P (RNase P) is a ubiquitous endoribonuclease, found in archaea, bacteria and eukarya as well as chloroplasts and mitochondria. Lineage: Bacteria; Pseudomonadati; Pseudomonadota; Gammaproteobacteria. The record is from RNAcentral.
CAAGUCAGCCGGGUAAUCGCUGGUACCCUCGGGUACUGGAGGAAAGUCCGGGCUCCACAGGGCAGAGUGCCAGCUAACGGCUGGGAGGCGUGAGUCUACGGAAAGUGCCGCAGAAAAUAUACCGCCUAGCUUCGGUUAGGUAAGGGUGAAAAGGUGCGGUAAGAGCGCACCGCAUUGUUGGUAACAACAAUGGCAUGGUAAACCCCUCUUGGAGCAAGACCAAAUAAGAGUC